Parus major (Great Tit) is the source of this 2632-nucleotide long non-coding RNA. RefSeq lists it as uncharacterized. NCBI's taxonomy places the organism in Eukaryota, Metazoa, Chordata, Aves, Passeriformes, Paridae. The transcript has 2 exons. The record is from RefSeq and is a predicted model, not a curated record.
AUGUGAAGUGUGCACAAGUUUCUCUUCACUUUAUGCAUUAAUAUCUCAAGAGGAAGAUUGGAGCAUUUAAGAAGUACAACUGAAGAUAAUGCCUACCAUUUUCUGGGGAAAUUCCUUAUAACACCUAGCUUCUAAAAUUUGUUGUACACCUGCAUAUCCAAAGUCAAUAGAAAUUGCAGGGACUCAGUACCUCUGAUAACCAAGCACCCAAAAGUGGAAAGCUGAAUUACACUUUCUGAGAUGCAAUACUAUUUGUGAUGUUAUCUCAGCCACUCAGACCCUUCAAGCCCAAACUGCAGCUGUUGUAAUGCUUUGAAACAGAGAGGAACAGUCACUUUAGCCAAAAAAGACUUGCCUGUCAUGAAUGAAAGCAGUGAAUUCUACAAUUUCUAAGCAGAUGACAUCCUGGGAAAGUGGGGGUGGGAUGGUGUUUGCUAAUUACUCAAUAACAAAAUAUCUCUCCUUAAUUAGUGCUGAAAAUUAUUACUUCAAAUAAAUACUAAUGUCAAUUUGUUACUCUGUACCGUAUGGAUAACACAUCAGAUUAUAACUGAAUAUUUCUAACUAGUGAAAACUUUAAAAAUGUCAUGCAUUAAGGCACUGUUUAUUCAUAGUCUCUAUAAGCACACUAUGAGAUAUAUUUGACCUACUGUUCAGUGAUAUAUAUUUUACCUGCAUCUAACUUUAAAAACCAAAGGCUUCUGAUAUUUACUGAACCAUGUGUUUCAAUAAAUAUGUUCUCUGCAUAUUAAGGUGUGCCUUUGAUAGGACUGCCACACUGACAAAUGCUAGGGGACGAAUAAUGACGAGUGCCUCAUACCCCUCGGGUUUACUGACAUUAAUCUGAAUAACAGUGCUUGAUGGGAUGACCAUAGUUACUCAUCAUGGUUCAUGUUACCACUGAAGUUUUUUAAACUGAAAGUGGAAAAAUAAAUCCGUGUUGUAGUAUAAAGUAUGCCUAUACUGGACAGGAGUAUGAAAUACAAUGAAUGGAAGUCAAAGAACAAAACGAAAAUCCGUGAUUAAGAAAGGUUAAUUGCAGCAUGAACAGUUUCCAAAAUAUACUUAUUACAGCUUUUAUUGAAGGCAAAGAGCAAGAAAUAAAAAUUAUCAGAAAUUCUAUGAACACAUGAAAAAUUAUUAUCUUAAAAAUUAUAUAUCUGCUUAUUUAUAGUAUGCUCAAUACAGUACCACUAUAGUUACGAAGUUAAUAUAAAGCCUUAUGAUAUAAAGAUCUAACAUCAGUAAACAUAAAACCACUUAAUUUUGUAAAUCAAGUGUUUAAUUGAAGAGCUAAUAAAUUUAUAGUCUUCUUCCACAUUAAAAAAACCUGAAUGUUGAUGGUUUAAAUUUGAUGACGUUUAAACCCAGCAGUUUUCUGACUGGAGAUAUCCAGUUCACAAAUUAUCACAGAUGAAUUUAAGUCUAUAUUUUUAUAAAAUACAACACAGACUAUUUUAAUUUCUCUACACUAAUAAUGCAGAUGACCUAUCUAUUAAGCUUAAAGAUCUUCAGCAAACUCCAUAUGUAUAUCAAAUAAAACAAUUUUAUAGUCUGCAAAACAAAGUAAUAAAAACAUUGUCCAAACUGAGUUUUCAUACAGCCACAUUGCACUGUUAUUUUAGAAUUGCAAGGGGAAACAGAAUUGCAUCCACAUUCUGAGAGUAUAUUUCUACAAUACUGUAUAUAGUCAUGUAGUGCACAAAUGCCAACAACAAGGGACUGAAAUAGGAUCAACUCUUUUCUUUCUCAGAAACAAUCUUGUAAGCAUCCGAGUUCCCAAAGACAUAAAAGAAUAGUUACUUUUCUGAGAUCCUUUGAUAUUGCUCUUCAUGGUGGAGCUAUCCACAAGUGAUGGGAAAGAUCUCUUUUGAAAGUAAAUGGUGCUCCUUCAAAUGUGUUCAGAAACAUCUUUGCUGUUCCUUUCUCUGUUUCUCAAGUUUAACUUGAAAAGGAUGCUUGAUUUUUUUAAAAUUUGGUUUAGCUAUCACAAUGGGAUACCUAAUAUCAGACAGUGCUUGCAAACCUUAUUCUUCCAGCAUAGAAUCUAGCUGUUUCUUUCUCUGUGUCAACACAGGAGGCUGAAGUAAUCAGAUAGGUCUAAAGAACACAGAGGAUGUUAACCUGCACUUUCUCAGAAUCUGUGAUGAUGGGUUCAUACUUUCAACAUGACCACACUGAGCCAUAAGGCAUAUAAAUAGCUACUUUCACCUAAAGCACAGUUAUCACAGCAGUUUGUACAGUAGGGCUAUCAGUUCAUAGUAUUUAAAAUGUCAAUAUUGAUACUAUUGUCAUGGAUUAAUAAUUUCUGCAUGUAAUUUUAUCAUUUCCAUCUACCUCUGCUGUCGUUCAGUAAUAUAAAGGAAUUGUUGGCUCUUCCCCUCAUCACGUCUCCAAAAGACAAGCACACAAAAUCAGUUGUAUUGUCUAGGAAUAUCUUUGCAACACAACAGUUUUCAGUUUUGUUAAGUGAUAAUUUGAGCUCACUGUAUAAAUGUUUUUUUAUUAAUGACUUGCUUGUAUGCUAGAAUGGAGGACACAAAAAGGAAAAAGCAUCUCAGAUGAAAAUAGGGAUGUCAUUUCCAACAUAUUAAAAGGCAAACAGGUGUUGUUCUAAAUUAGGCAAAAAAAA